This 741-nucleotide long non-coding RNA is filed under the name Salmo salar (Atlantic salmon). RNAcentral describes it as "lncRNA (ENSSSAG00000086128.1)". The record is from RNAcentral. Lineage: Eukaryota; Metazoa; Chordata; Actinopteri; Salmoniformes; Salmonidae.
GACCUGGGGCACAGGACUGGACCUGGGGCACAGGACUGGACCUGGGGCACAGGACUGGACCUGGGGCACAGGACUGGACCUGGGGCACAGGACUGGACCUGGGGCGGAGGGGCACAGGACUGGACCUGGGGCGGAGGGGCACAGGACUGGACCUGGGGCGGAAGGGCACAGGACUGGACCUGGGGCACAGGACUGGACCUGGGGCGGAGGGGCACAGGACUGGACCUGGGGUGGAGGGGCUAGGGGUAUAAGACUGGACCUGGGGUGGAGGGGCACAGGACUGGACCUGGGGUGGAGGGGUACAGGACUGGACCUAGGGGUUAGUUGAUAGGCAGAAGGGUGGAGUGGGGUCAGCCUGUAUCGCCCUCCAGGGACCAGGGGUUAGUUAUCUAAGCUUUCUUCUCCUCCAGUAUGUUGUGCAGUUCGUCAGCAUCCUCUGCUGUUUUGACCCUGAUGAGCAUGGCGACAGGGUUGGUAGGGUUGUUGUGGUCCACCACAGGGUUAGGAACACAAAUCACCAUCACGUUGUUCUUCCCCAUUCUGGAACAGGGUAUGGAAGGCUGGACCAUGAUGUUCAACAGGAUGUUACCUGGAGGAGAGAGAGAGAGAGAGGGGGUUGUUAUUGAUGAGGUCUGGAGCGGGAUGUUACAGACAGACAGGUUAUUGAUGAGGUCUGGAGCGGGAUGUUACAGACAGACAGGUUAUUGAUGAGGUCUGGACCGGGAUGUUACAGACAGACAG